AUGUCUGUGUGUGUGUGUGUAUGUGUCAGUAUGUCUGUGUGUGUGUGUAUGUCAGUAUGUCUGUCAUAGACACACACAGACAUACUGACAUACAUACACAAACAGACAU
Molecule: non-coding RNA, 109 nt
Organism: Pelobates cultripes (western spadefoot toad)
Lineage: Eukaryota; Metazoa; Chordata; Amphibia; Anura; Pelobatidae
Source: the annotation of a GenBank genome assembly